GAUGAACGCUGGCGGCGUGCCUAAUACAUGCAAGUCGAGCGAACAGACGAGGAGCCUGCUCCUCUGACGUUAGCGGCGGACGGGUGAGUAACACGUGGAUAACCUACCUAUAAGACUGGGAUAACUUCGGGAAACCGGAGCUAAUACCGGAUAAUAUAUUGAACCGCAUGGUUCAAUAGUGAAAGACGGUUUUGCUGUCACUUAUAGAUGGAUCCGCGCCGCAUUAGCUAGUUGGUAAGGUAACGGCUUACCAAGGCAACGAUGCGUAGCCGACCUGAGAGGGUGAUCGGCCACACUGGAACUGAGACACGGUCCAGACUCCUACGGGAGGCAGCAGUAGGGAAUCUUCCGCAAUGGGCGAAAGCUUGACGGAGCAACGCCGCGUGAGUGAUGAAGGUCUUCGGAUCGUAAAACUCUGUUAUUAGGGAAGAACAAAUGUGUAAGUAACUAUGCACGUCUUGACGGUACCUAAUCAGAAAGCCACGGCUAACUACGUG
RNAcentral lists this ribosomal RNA (497 nucleotides) under uncultured bacterium. RNAcentral describes it as "partial 16S ribosomal RNA". It matches the Rfam family "Bacterial small subunit ribosomal RNA", at positions 28 to 507 of the family's 1533-position model. The record is from RNAcentral.